Molecule: ribosomal RNA, 253 nt
Filed under: uncultured bacterium
Lineage: Bacteria
Description: partial 16S ribosomal RNA
Rfam family: Bacterial small subunit ribosomal RNA
Source: RNAcentral
CACGUAGGGGACGAGCGUUGUCCGGAUUCAUUGGGCGUAAAGCGCGCGUAGGCGGCUCGGAAAGUCGGUCGUGAAAUGCCGGGGCUCAACCCCGGGACUGCGUCCGAUACUCUCGAGCUGGAGGCAGGUAGGGGAGAUCGGAAUUCCUGGUGUAGCGGUGAAAUGCGCAGAUAUCAGGAGGAACACCGGUGGCGAAGGCGGAUCUCUGGGCCGAUAUCGACGCUGAGGAGCGAAAGCGUGGGGAGCGAACAGG